AUCUCGUUUUUGUCAUUCCUACCGCGUCUUCUUCCACCUUCUUCAGCUUCCUCUCGCACUUUACCAUCAUUGCAAAAACGAGAUUCCACCUGGGUGAUCUUGUCUCGGUCCGAGAAAAAAGACGAGGCGAUUAAAUGCCCUCGCUCCAAAUGAAAAAGGGCAACUUGGGCAACCAACGUCUUCUGAAGAAUCUGGCGCAACAUUU
Caenorhabditis elegans is the source of this 205-nucleotide non-coding RNA. The record is from Ensembl. NCBI's taxonomy places the organism in Eukaryota, Metazoa, Nematoda, Chromadorea, Rhabditida, Rhabditidae.